RNAcentral lists this long non-coding RNA (531 nucleotides) under Lathyrus oleraceus (garden pea). RNAcentral describes it as "Pisum sativum (pea) long non-coding RNA (PSAT_LNC021559)". The record is from RNAcentral. Lineage: Eukaryota; Viridiplantae; Streptophyta; Magnoliopsida; Fabales; Fabaceae.
AAGUUUCCAGCAGCAGUUGGACAGCUCCAAAGAUGUCUCCACAAAGCCCGAAGAAUGAAAAGCCUGAGAAAAUUGGAAAUAUUGGGCUUGGGCUGACACGGCCCGUGUCAGCCUACUGUUUCUCCUGACAUGCCCAUGGAAAACCUAACACGGGGGGGUAUCUGCCUGACACGGCCCGUGUCAGCUGACACAGGUGGCCGUGUCAGGCUACUGUUUUCCUUAUUCUGCUUCCCUUGCCCUGACACGGCCCGUGUCAGGUGACACGGGCCGCCGUGUCAGGCCUCCUGUACCGGUGUUUUCUGACACAGGUGGCCGUGUCAGGCUACUGUUUUCCUUAUUCUGCUUCCCUUGCCCUGACACGGCCCGUGUCAGGUGACACGGGCCGCCGUGUCAGGCCUCCUGUACCGGUGUUUUCUGCUCUUUUGCGUGCCGGACUCUCGCACUGACGUGUUCUGAGUUCUCCGGUUCUUCUACCUGGAUCUGUCGGACAAAAACACAGCUAUCCCACGCAUAAAAUCAAGAUAAACAAAG